RNAcentral lists this transfer RNA (71 nucleotides) under Loxodonta africana (African savanna elephant). It matches the Rfam family "tRNA". From Rfam's summary of the family: Transfer RNA (tRNA) molecules are approximately 80 nucleotides in length. Their secondary structure includes four short double-helical elements and three loops (D, anti-codon, and T loops). Further hydrogen bonds mediate the characteristic L-shaped molecular structure. tRNAs have two regions of fundamental functional importance: the anti-codon, which is responsible for specific mRNA codon recognition, and the 3' end, to which the tRNAs corresponding amino acid is attached (by aminoacyl-tRNA synthetases). tRNAs cope with the degeneracy of the genetic code in two manners: having more than one tRNA (with a specific anti-codon) for a particular amino acid; and 'wobble' base-pairing, i.e. permitting non-standard base-pairing at the 3rd anti-codon position. Lineage: Eukaryota; Metazoa; Chordata; Mammalia; Proboscidea; Elephantidae. The record is from Rfam by way of RNAcentral.
GCAUUGGUGGUUCAGUAGUAGAAUUCUCCCCUUCCAUGUAGGAGACCAGGGAUGAAUUCCUGGCCAAUGCA